This is a long non-coding RNA of Dunckerocampus dactyliophorus (ringed pipefish), 446 nucleotides long. RefSeq lists it as uncharacterized. Lineage: Eukaryota; Metazoa; Chordata; Actinopteri; Syngnathiformes; Syngnathidae. The transcript has 4 exons. The record is from RefSeq and is a predicted model, not a curated record.
CUUGUUUGUCCCAAUACUGUUGCCGUACCACAUCUGCUUAAAAAGGGGCUUCAGGUGAAUCGUUCGUUUUGGCGGGAAGUGGUGACGUCAUCAGCAACGGCGGACACAGUUGAUCCAAUUCCAGCCCGCCCAAAGAGUGACAACAGCACAGUACCGAACAAAUGAUAACAGUUCAAAAGUCUGCAGUGAAAUAAACAGAUGGAGGGAGCAGAGGGCGGGAGAGAGCUACGGAAGGUCUGCAGUUCCUGAUGUCUGGAGUCACUCCUGGAGAAACUCAAGAUGGAUAAAGUCUGGAUAUAGAAGACAUGGGAUCCGGGGCUAGUAAUGUGAGGGCCUGACGGAGCCAGUGCUUUCUCCUUCUGUUAAUAUUGCGUGGAUUUGAUAUUUCAAUUAUUUUCUGUCUUGUCCCCUUUAGGGGAGAGAGAUUUUUUCAUGCCGUUACUGUG